Molecule: ribosomal RNA, 254 nt
Filed under: uncultured bacterium
Lineage: Bacteria
Description: partial 16S ribosomal RNA
Rfam family: Bacterial small subunit ribosomal RNA
Source: RNAcentral
UACGUAGGGGGCAAGCGUUGUCCGGAAUUACUGGGCGUAAAGGGCUUGUAGGUGGCCAACUAAGUCAGACGUGAAAUCCCUCGGCUUAACCGGGGAACUGCGUCUGAUACUGGAUGGCUAGAGUGUGAGAGAGGGAUGCGGAAUUCCAGGUGUAGCGGUGAAAUGCGUAGAUAUCUGGAGGAACACCGGUGGCGAAGGCGGCAUCCUGGACCACGACUGACGCUGAGUGAGCGAAAGCCAGGGGAGCAAACGGA